UUGGAGGGCAAGUCUGGUGCCAGCAGCCGCGGUAAUUCCAGCUCCAAUAGCGUAUAUUAAAGUCGUUGCAGUUAAAAAGCUCGUAGUUGAAUUUCGGGAUCAAUGUUUCGGUCAUGCCGUUGGUAUGUACUGAUAUUAUUGAUUUCUCACCUUCUAAAGAACCGUAAUGCCAUUAAUUUGGUGUCACGGGGAAUUAGGACUGUUACCUUGAAAAAAUUAGAGUGUUUAAAGCAGGCUCACGCUUGAAUACAUUAGCAUGGAAUAAUGAAAUAGGACAUCCGAUGCUAUUUUGUUGGUUUCUAGGAUCGAUGUAAUGAUUAAUAGGGAUAGUUGGGGGCAUUAGUAUUCAAUUGUCAGAGGUGAAAUUCUUGGAUUUAUUGAAGACUAACUACUGCGAAAGCAUUUGCCAAGGAUGUUUUCAUUAAUCAAGAACGAAAGUUAGGGGAUCGAAGACGAUCAGAUACCGUCGUAGUCUUAACCAUAAACUAUGCCGACUAGGGAUCGGAUGAUGUUAAUCUUUUAAUGACUCAUUCGGCGCCUUACGGGAAACCAAAGUGUUUGGGUUC
RNAcentral lists this ribosomal RNA (566 nucleotides) under uncultured Glomeromycotina. Its description in RNAcentral is "SSU rRNA". It matches the Rfam family "Eukaryotic small subunit ribosomal RNA", at positions 548 to 1114 of the family's 1831-position model. Lineage: Eukaryota; Fungi; Glomeromycota. The record is from RNAcentral.